AUGAACGCUGGUGGCGUGCCUAAUACAUGCCAGUCGCGCGAACAGACGAGGAGCUUGCUCCUCUGACGUUAGCGGCGGACGGGUGAGUAACACGUGGAUAACCUACCUAUAAGACUGGGAUAACUUCGGGAAACCGGAGCUAAUACCGGAUAAUAUAUUGAACCGCAUGGUUCAAUAGUGAAAGACGGUUUUGCUGUCACUUAUAGAUGGAUCCGCGCCGCAUUAGCUAGUUGGUAAGGUAACGGCUUACCAAGGCAACGAUGCGUAGCCGACCUGAGAGGGUGAUCGGCCACACUGGAACUGAGACACGGUCCAGACUCCUACGGGAGGCAGCAGUAGGGAAUCUUCCGCAAUGGGCGAAAGCCUGACGGAGCAACGCCGCGUGAGUGAUGAAGGUCUUCGGAUCGUAAAACUCUGUUAUUAGGGAAGAACAAAUGUGUAAGUAACUAUGCACGUCUUGACGGUACCUAAUCAGAAAGCCACGGCUAACUACGUG
This 496-nucleotide ribosomal RNA is filed under the name uncultured bacterium. Its description in RNAcentral is "partial 16S ribosomal RNA". It matches the Rfam family "Bacterial small subunit ribosomal RNA", at positions 29 to 507 of the family's 1533-position model. The record is from RNAcentral.